This 448-nucleotide ribosomal RNA is filed under the name uncultured bacterium. RNAcentral's name for it is "partial 16S ribosomal RNA". It matches the Rfam family "Bacterial small subunit ribosomal RNA", at positions 355 to 794 of the family's 1533-position model. The record is from RNAcentral.
UGGGGAAUUUUGGACAAUGGGCGCAAGCCUGAUCCAGCAAUGCCGCGUGCAGGAUGAAGGCCUUCGGGUUGUAAACUGCUUUUGUACGGAACGAAAAGCCUCUCUCUAAUACAGGGGGGUGAUGACGGUACCGUAAGAAUAAGCACCGGCUAACUACGUGCCAGCAGCCGCGGUAAUACGUAGGGUGCAAGCGUUAAUCGGAAUUACUGGGCGUAAAGCGUGCGCAGGCGGUUUUGUAAGACAGUGGUGAAAUCCCCGGGCUCAACCUGGGAACUGCCAUUGUGACUGCAAGGCUGGAGUGCGGCAGAGGGGGGAUGGAAUUCCGCGUGUAGCAGUGAAAUGCGUAGAUAUGCGGAGGAACACCGAUGGCGAAGGCAAUCCCCUGGGCCUGCACUGACGCUCAUGCACGAAAGCGUGGGGAGCAAACAGGAUUAGAUACCCUGGUAGU